RNAcentral lists this ribosomal RNA (415 nucleotides) under uncultured bacterium. RNAcentral describes it as "bacterial SSU rRNA". It matches the Rfam family "Bacterial small subunit ribosomal RNA", at positions 28 to 433 of the family's 1533-position model. The record is from RNAcentral.
GAUGAACGCUAGCGGCAGGCUUAAUACAUGCAAGUCGAGGGGCAGCGGGGUAGCAAUACCGCCGGCGACCGGCAAACGGGUGCGGAACACGUACAGAACCUUCCUUUAAGCGGGGGAGUAGCCCACUAGAAAUGUGGAUUAAUACCCCACUAGUAAUAUUGACUGGCAUCAGUUGGUAUUUAAAGUAUUUAUUCACUUAAAGAAUGGCUGUGCGGCUGAUUAGGUAGUUGGUGCGGGUAACGGCCCACCAAGCCAGCGAUCAGUAACUGGUGUGAGAGCACGACCAGUCACACGGGCACUGAGACACGGGCCCGACUCCUACGGGAGGCAGCAGUAAGGAAUAUUGGUCAAUGGACGCAAGUCUGAACCAGCCAUGCCGCGUGAAGGAUGAAGGCCCUCUGGGGUUGUAAACUUC